GUGAGACCUUUGGAAAGUGUGUCCCGGGGUUCUGCUCUUCUGAAGAGAUUAGUGCUGCUCUCCGGGGACCGGAUUGAGGGUUGAUUCUCGCCAUGUGAAGCUGAUGAGCUCCUGAGAGAGUUGUUGGACGUUCAGGUCGAGCUGGGCACCCGCCUUCCCUUCUAGGAGGCUGUGGGAGCCUCGCCGGACACUGUCACCGUGCCGGGACCCCGCCCGCAGAACCGCGAACUGACAGAAUUUAUUUUCUUUAUGUAUUGUAUAUCCGUUUCCGGUACCUUGAUACAGAUACAUGAAACAUCCUAAGGCUCAUCGAAUCAAGACGUAUUUUGAGGGUAAAGAUCACUGAGAUGAAACUUAGAAACCUGUCAUACAGAGUUAGUGACGCUUCUCCCCACUGCCCUGCUCCUGAAAGUACUGAGGCACAGCACACCCACCUGCACAUCAGACCCCAGGGCCUGCCCAAGAUUGCAUCAUCCCCAUCACAUCCCAGAUUGCUCGGCAGCGUUCACGUGUGGUUCUCAACUUGCUCUCCAUGCAAAUACCUGUGUCUCCUCAAAUUGCUAAUGGCACUUUUUAGACGAGUGUUUUAUGGCCAUUCUCAAUGGCACAAGAGCUCUACACAGCCAGAAAGCACAGGGUCCGAUCCAGCAGGGAUGAGGAGAAUAACCAGGCUGGGUGGAUGAGCGCUUGUAAAAACACUCAGCAGCGGCUCUUUUUCUUUCUUGCAGGGUUAAUGGUAAAAUUCUAAAAUCUGAAAAUGUUCUUGAUUUCACUACAGAUAUCUUUAAUAUUAAGCCUGCGUAGCAGUCUAAUCAGUUUAUGGCAAGUCAUGCUUCAUAACUCACGGCCUGGGAAGGCUGCAGCAGUGGGCUAAAUGCUCCUGAAUUCAGACAAUUUAAUGUAAAAAUUCAGGAAGGUUUUGCUGAAGCAAUAAUGGGCAUGAUCAAUAGAGAAAAAGCCAAGAAAGCAGAUAAAUACAUUACCCGUGACCCUAGAUAAGAUUUGCUCGUGCAGUACCCUUCCCUUUCCCCUAAACCUUUCUCAGUCCCGUAAGCUGGGAUCCAGCAGGACAGCUCUCCUUCACCGUGCUCGCAGAUCCCUGAGUUCGCAGGCAUUGGCCAUCUUGUGGACUGCAGGAGAGACUCAUGUGCCGGGCAUGUGGACAAAAGGGGCGAUGAUUCUGUGCUGCGUACAGAGGUGAAAUAUCCAUAUAAGCCCAUGAACGGAUGACGGGAGUCCGUUCCAGAUAUCAUUAAGAGCGGGCCAUUAAACAAAGCCACCUGCAUGGGAGGUGCUUCAAAAUCCUCGACUGGGCUGCUGCCUCCAACUUUGAAUUGGGAUGAGCUGCGCUGUGCUUCUGUUGAUCAAGAUUUCCCCAAAUGGAAACUUGUAUGUGAAGAUGAAUAAAAACACUGUGGAAUGUAUGGAAUACACAAACUGGACAUAUUAGUCCAGAGGUGCAGUGACUUAAGUUGUUUUCUUUCACGAUUUGUUUUCAGUGUUUCUCAGGGAGC
Molecule: long non-coding RNA, 1514 nt
Filed under: Fukomys damarensis (Damara mole-rat)
Lineage: Eukaryota; Metazoa; Chordata; Mammalia; Rodentia; Bathyergidae
Description: lncRNA (ENSFDAG00000027256.1)
Source: RNAcentral